UUUCUUUAACACAUCGGAAGAAAUCGGCUCAUCGCUUUCGGCAAUAAUCCUCGCCGACGCCGUUACCUGCGGUUCCACCGUUCCUCCAUCUCAGUAGACCACACUCGGUCUUCCCGUCGUGGACACACCUAUCCCCGUGUCCAUGGAGGCCUCCUCAAUGCCAGAUGAAGUGAGUGUGGAACAUUUUCCCCCUUGGCCCUCCGUCGGGUCACUUUGGGCCCGGCUGCUCGUCCGUUCCUGCCUGCGUCAUGAGGUCCGUCACGUUCCUCUCCAGCCCGUGGAUACGCGUGCCCAUCUGGAUAUGUUUGGAUUCGAGUUGUUCAGAGAUUGCUUGGAAUUUCCCCUGCAGACGGUCCAUAGUUUGCUCCAUCUGGCAAAACGAAAAACCCAACAACAAAUGGGACACAUAAUUGGUUAUUGUACUCAGGCUAUGCAGUGUGCAUGCAAACAAACUUACAGUUUCGGUCAUCCCUUAGUGUCUCUUGUUCUGUGUUAGACAUUUGGUUAUUGUACUCAGGCUAUGCAGUGUGCAUGAAAACAGACUUACAGUUUCGGUCAUAUCCCUGAGUGUCUCGGGUUCUGUGUUAGACAUUGUUGACAUCGGUGAUCAUGGAGUCUAUUAGCACUGGGAAUGUUGCAAAGUUUUCUGGUAGCCGCAUACGAGCAAAGGGGCAGAGCCACCGAAAUGUCCACGGUGGGACGGGUGGAACAGACUCAACCGCAAAACUUAAUCCUUCCCCCCAGACGUCGAUUGAAGAUAAUCUA
Molecule: long non-coding RNA, 765 nt
Organism: Gadus macrocephalus (Pacific cod)
Lineage: Eukaryota; Metazoa; Chordata; Actinopteri; Gadiformes; Gadidae
Exons: 2
Source: RefSeq, a predicted model, not a curated record